RNAcentral lists this ribosomal RNA (292 nucleotides) under uncultured bacterium. RNAcentral's name for it is "partial 16S ribosomal RNA". The record is from RNAcentral.
GGACUACAGGGGUAUCUAAUCCUGUUUGCUCCCCACGCUUUCGCGCAUCAGCGUCAGUAUCGGGCCAGUGAGUCGCCUUCGCCACUGGUGUUCCGCCGAAUAUCUACGAAUUUCACCUCUACACUCGGCAUUCCACUCACCUCUCCCGAACUCAAGAUAUCCAGUAUUGAAGGCUAUUCCGAGGUUGAGCCCCGGGCUUUCACCCCCAACUUAGAUAUCCGCCUACGCGCCCUUUACGCCCAGUAAUUCCGAGCAACGCUAGCCCCCUUCGUAUUACCGCGGCUGCUGGCAC